This 501-nucleotide ribosomal RNA is filed under the name uncultured bacterium. RNAcentral's name for it is "partial 16S ribosomal RNA". It matches the Rfam family "Bacterial small subunit ribosomal RNA", at positions 30 to 523 of the family's 1533-position model. The record is from RNAcentral.
AUUGAACGCUGGCGGCAGGCUUAACACAUGCAAGUCGAGCGGGGGAAGGUAGCUUGCUACCGAACCUAGCGGCGGACGGGUGAGUAAUGCUUAGGAAUCUGCCUAUUAGUGGGGGACAACAUCUCGAAAGGGAUGCUAAUACCGCAUACGUCCUACGGGAGAAAGCAGGGGAUCUUCGGACCUUGCGCUAAUAGAUGAGCCUAAGUCGGAUUAGCUAGUUGGUGGGGUAAAGGCCUACCAAGGCGACGAUCUGUAGCGGGUCUGAGAGGAUGAUCCGCCACAAUGGGAAUGAGACACGGCCCAGACUCCUACGGGAGGCAACAGUGGGGAAUAUUGGACAAUGGGGGGAACCCUGAUCCAGCCAUGCCGCGUGUGUGAAGAAGGCCUUAUGGUUGUAAAGCACUUUAAGCGAGGAGGAGGCUACUUUAGUUAAUACCUAGAGAUAGUGGACGUUACUCGCAGAAUAAGCACCGGCUAACUCUGUGCCAGCCGCCGCAGUAA